GCCUAAUACAUGCAAGUCGAGCGAACGGACGAGAAGCUUGCUUCUCUGAUGUUAGCGGCGGACGGGUGAGUAACACGUGGAUAACCUACCUAUAAGACUGGGAUAACUUCGGGAAACCGGAGCUAAUACCGGAUAAUAUUUUGAACCGCAUGGUUCAAAAGUGAAAGACGGUCUUGCUGUCACUUAUAGAUGGAUCCGCGCUGCAUUAGCUAGUUGGUAAGGUAACGGCUUACCAAGGCAACGAUGCAUAGCCGACCUGAGAGGGUGAUCGGCCACACUGGAACUGAGACACGGUCCAGACUCCUACGGGAGGCAGCAGUAGGGAAUCUUCCGCAAUGGGCGAAAGCCUGACGGAGCAACGCCGCGUGAGUGAUGAAGGUCUUCGGAUCGUAAAACUCUGUUAUUAGGGAAGAACAUAUGUGUAAGUAACUGUGCACAUCUUGACGGUACCUAAUCAGAAAGCCACGGCUAACUACGUGCCAGCAGCCGCGGUAAUACGUAGGUGGCAAGCGUUAUCCGGAAUUAUUGGGCGUAAAGCGCGCGUAGGCGGUUUUUUAAGUCUGAUGUGAAAGCCCACGGCUCAACCGUGGAGGGUCAUUGGAAACUGGAAAACUUGAGUGCAGAAGAGGAAAGUGGAAUUCCAUGUGUAGCGGUGAAAUGCGCAGAGAUAUGGAGGAACACCAGUGGCGAAGGCGACUUUC
RNAcentral lists this ribosomal RNA (701 nucleotides) under uncultured Staphylococcus sp. RNAcentral's name for it is "bacterial SSU rRNA". It matches the Rfam family "Bacterial small subunit ribosomal RNA", at positions 46 to 729 of the family's 1533-position model. The record is from RNAcentral. Lineage: Bacteria; Bacillati; Bacillota; Bacilli; Caryophanales; Staphylococcaceae.